UACGUAGGGACCGAGCGUUGUCCGGAUUCAUUGGGCGUAAAGAGCUCGUAGGCGGCGCGGUAAGUCGGGUGUGAAAUCUCGGAGCUUAACUCCGAAACUGCAUUCGAUACUGCCGUGCUUGAGGACUGGAGAGGAGACUGGAAUUUACGGUGUAGCGGUGAAAUGCGUAGAUAUCGUAAGGAAGACCAGUGGCGAAGGCGGGUCUCUGGACAGUUCCUGACGCUGAGGCACGAAGGUCAGGGGAGCAAACGGG
Molecule: ribosomal RNA, 253 nt
Filed under: uncultured bacterium
Lineage: Bacteria
Description: partial 16S ribosomal RNA
Rfam family: Bacterial small subunit ribosomal RNA
Source: RNAcentral